Molecule: long non-coding RNA, 474 nt
Filed under: Geospiza fortis (medium ground-finch)
Lineage: Eukaryota; Metazoa; Chordata; Aves; Passeriformes; Thraupidae
Description: lncRNA (ENSGFOG00000000882.1)
Source: RNAcentral
CUGCUCGGCCUUCUUCACCUUUUCUGGGGAGGGUGGUUUGCUGUUUUCCCUCAGCUCCCAUUGCUCCUCUGGGAAAGUUAAUUCACCUGCUCCACGGCUCUGCUCUGGUUUCUAGCUCUUUACUCUUCACGGCGAGGGCUGUGACCGUGGUGCUCUCCUCUCCCUUCCCCUGGCCCUAUGGACGCCGUACAGCGGGAAAACGCUGAUGUUGCAGGUGCAUGGAGGCCUGGGUUUAACACUUUUUUUUUUCUGCCUGGAAAGGGGAGCUUAAACUUCGGUUAAGGACCUUUGCUGCGAGGCCUGGGGAAUCUUCUGAAACUGUAAAUGCUGGAAUUAAAAGUCUGUACUUGACACCUCCCAUAAAACCAAAACCAAAUGUGCGCUUUGAGAGCAUGCCAUCAGAAAUGCUGCUGAAGAUAUUUUCCUGUUUGGAUGCUGUGUCCCUAUUGGCUGUUGGUUGUGUGAAUAAGCGCU